AACUUUCGGCAACGGAUCUCUUGGCUCUCGCAUCGAUGAAGAACGCAGCGAAAUGCGAUCAGUAAUGUGAAUUGCAGAAUUCAGUGAAUCAUCGAAUCUUUGAACGCACCUUGCACCCUUUGGCAUUCCGAAGGGUAUGCUCGUUUGAGUGUCAUUGUACUCUCAUGCUCCCGAUGCUUUUGGAUCGGGAGUGGUGGACUUGGGUGUUGCUGCUUUACUGUGGCUCACCUCAAAUGGAGUAGUGCAACUCUUGGUUGGACAUAGUACGGCGUGAUAAGUGUCUUCGCCGGCGCCUCAUUAGAGGGUGGCCGAUCGGGAGCUCUGUGCUUCAAACCGUCUUCGGACAACAUCUGACAACUUGACCUCAAAUCGAGUAGGACUAACCGCUGAACUUAAGCAUAUCAAUAAGCGGAGGCU
This 417-nucleotide unclassified non-coding RNA is filed under the name uncultured Sebacina. RNAcentral's name for it is "sequence contains ITS2". The stretch from base 1 to 154 matches the Rfam family "5.8S ribosomal RNA". The record is from RNAcentral. Lineage: Eukaryota; Fungi; Basidiomycota; Agaricomycetes; Sebacinales; Sebacinaceae.